RNAcentral lists this long non-coding RNA (205 nucleotides) under Mytilus galloprovincialis (Mediterranean mussel). The record is from RNAcentral. Lineage: Eukaryota; Metazoa; Mollusca; Bivalvia; Mytilida; Mytilidae.
AAACUUGAACUUCCAUGAAAGGUUACAGAAAGAAUUUCACAAGUGAACUUCACCUCAGUGCUUCCAUUGCAUUUACGAGUUUUCAUAAUUACAGCAUUUAAUGCAUCAUCUGUCAUCAUCUGUUCAUUUCACCUACAUGACCCCUAUAUUAAUUGAUUACCGGAAAAGUUAGAAAAAGAAGUUAUGGAAUUAUUAAAAUUAUACA